GACGAAGGGUCCUAGCGUUGCUCGGAAUCAUUGGGCGUAAAGGGUGCGUAGGUGGCCUUGUAAGUCAGGUGUGAAAGCCUUGGGCUCAACCCAAGAAGUGCACUUGAUACUGCAAGGCUUGAGUACAGGAGAGGGCAGUAGAAUUCCUGGUGUAGUGGUGAAAUACGUAGAUAUCAGGAGGAAUACCGGUGGCGAAGGCGGCUGCCUGGCCUAGUACUGACACUGAGGCACGAAAGCGUGGGGAUCAAACAGG
RNAcentral lists this ribosomal RNA (253 nucleotides) under uncultured bacterium. RNAcentral's name for it is "partial 16S ribosomal RNA". It matches the Rfam family "Bacterial small subunit ribosomal RNA", at positions 524 to 776 of the family's 1533-position model. The record is from RNAcentral.